Molecule: ribosomal RNA, 484 nt
Filed under: uncultured bacterium
Lineage: Bacteria
Description: partial 16S ribosomal RNA
Rfam family: Bacterial small subunit ribosomal RNA
Source: RNAcentral
GAUGAACGCUGGCGGCGUGCCUAACACAUGCAAGUCGAGCGGAAAGACGCAGCUUGCGCCUGGAUUCAGCGGCGCGCGGGUGUGUAAUGCCUAUGAAUCGCCCUCACAUUUGGGGAUAACGUCGGGAAACAGGCGCUAAUACCGCAUACUGCCUGAGCGGGAUGGUGGGGGAUCGUCGGACCUCACGCUUGCAGAUGAACCUAGGUCGGAUUAGCUAGUUGGUGGGGUAAAGGCCUACCAAGGCGACGAUGCGUAACUGGUCUGAGAGGAUGAUCAGUCACACUGGAACUGAGACACGGUCCAGACUCCUACGGGAGGCAGCAGUGGGGAAUGUUGGCCAAUGGGCGAAAGCCUGAUCCAGCGAUGCCGCGUGUGUGAAGAAGGUCUUCGGAUUGUAAAGCACUUUUAGUUGGGAGGAACGGCUGUAGGAUGAUACAAUGCUGUUUUGACGUUACCAGCAGAAGAAGCACCGGCUAACUACGUG